Molecule: transfer RNA, 74 nt
Filed under: Apaloderma vittatum (bar-tailed trogon)
Lineage: Eukaryota; Metazoa; Chordata; Aves; Trogoniformes; Trogonidae
Rfam family: tRNA
About the family: Transfer RNA (tRNA) molecules are approximately 80 nucleotides in length. Their secondary structure includes four short double-helical elements and three loops (D, anti-codon, and T loops). Further hydrogen bonds mediate the characteristic L-shaped molecular structure. tRNAs have two regions of fundamental functional importance: the anti-codon, which is responsible for specific mRNA codon recognition, and the 3' end, to which the tRNAs corresponding amino acid is attached (by aminoacyl-tRNA synthetases). tRNAs cope with the degeneracy of the genetic code in two manners: having more than one tRNA (with a specific anti-codon) for a particular amino acid; and 'wobble' base-pairing, i.e. permitting non-standard base-pairing at the 3rd anti-codon position.
Source: Rfam by way of RNAcentral
GGGCUGAUAAGCUCAGUGGGUUGAACGUGGUGCUAAUAACACCGAGAUUGCAGGUUCGAUUCCCGUUCGGUCCA